Molecule: ribosomal RNA, 1438 nt
Filed under: uncultured organism
Description: SSU rRNA
Rfam family: Bacterial small subunit ribosomal RNA
Source: RNAcentral
GCUUUCGACAGGCUUAACACAUGCAAGUCGAGGGGCAGCACAGGUAGUAAUACCGGGUGGCGACCGGCGCACGGGUGAGUAACGCGUAUGCAACUUGCCUAUCAGAGGGGGAUAACCCGGCGAAAGUCGGACUAAUACCGCAUGAAGCAGGGAUCCCGCAUGGGAAUAUUUGCUAAAGAUUCAUCGCUGAUAGAUAGGCAUGCGUUCCAUUAGGCAGUUGGCGGGGUAACGGCCCACCAAACCGACGAUGGAUAGGGGUUCUGAGAGGAAGGUCCCCCACAUUGGUACUGAGACACGGACCAAACUCCUACGGGAGGCAGCAGUGAGGAAUAUUGGUCAAUGGCCGAGAGGCUGAACCAGCCAAGUCGCGUGAGGGAUGAAGGUUCUAUGGAUCGUAAACCUCUUUUAUAAGGGAAUAAAGUGCGGGACGUGUCCCGUUUUGUAUGUACCUUAUGAAUAAGGAUCGGCUAACUCCGUGCCAGCAGCCGCGGUAAUACGGAGGAUCCGAGCGUUAUCCGGAUUUAUUGGGUUUAAAGGGUGCGUAGGCGGCCUUUUAAGUCAGCGGUGAAAGUCUGUGGCUCAACCAUAGAAUUGCCGUUGAAACUGGGGGGCUUGAGUAUGUUUGAGGCAGGCGGAAUGCGUGGUGUAGCGGUGAAAUGCAUAGAUAUCACGCAGAACCCCGAUUGCGAAGGCAGCCUGCCAAGCCAUGACUGACGCUGAUGCACGAAAGCGUGGGGAUCAAACAGGAUUAGAUACCCUGGUAGUCCACGCAGUAAACGAUGAUCACUAGCUGUUUGCGAUACACUGUAAGCGGCACAGCGAAAGCGUUAAGUGAUCCACCUGGGGAGUACGCCGGCAACGGUGAAACUCAAAGGAAUUGACGAGGGCCCGCACAAGCGGAGGAACAUGUGGUUUAAUUCGAUGAUACGCGAGGAACCUUACCCGGGUUUGAACGCAUUCGGACCGAGGUGGAAACACCUUUUCUAGCAAUAGCCGUUUGCGAGGUGCUGCAUGGUUGUCGUCAGCUCGUGCCGUGAGGUGUCGGCUUAAGUGCCAUAACGAGCGCAACCCUUGCCACUAGUUACUAACAGGUAAAGCUGAGGACUCUGGUGGGACUGCCAGCGUAAGCUGCGAGGAAGGCGGGGAUGACGUCAAAUCAGCACGGCCCUUACAUCCGGGGCGACACACGUGUUACAAUGGCGUGGACAAAGGGAAGCCACCUGGCGACAGGGAGCGAAUCCCCAAACCACGUCUCAGUUCGGAUCGGAGUCUGCAACCCGACUCCGUGAAGCUGGAUUCGCUAGUAAUCGCGCAUCAGCCAUGGCGCGGUGAAUACGUUCCCGGGCCUUGUACACACCGCCCGUCAAGCCAUGGGAGCCGGGGGUACCUGAAGUCCGUAACCGCGAGGAUCGGCCUAGGGUAAAACUGGUGACUGGGG